RNAcentral lists this long non-coding RNA (1547 nucleotides) under Homo sapiens (human). RNAcentral describes it as "non-protein coding lnc-SUMO1-2:4". Lineage: Eukaryota; Metazoa; Chordata; Mammalia; Primates; Hominidae. The record is from RNAcentral.
AUCUGAAGACUUGACUGGGGCUGGAGAACCUCCUCUCAAGGCAACUCCCACACAAGCCUAGGAAGUUCAUUCUGGCUGUUGGCAAGGGGCUUCUGUUCCUUGCCAUGUGGACUGCUUGCCAUAGGCUGCUUGAGUGGCCUCAUCACAGACAUGGUGGUUGGCUUUCCCCAGAAGACUCUUAGAAAGCCAGACCUUUAUAGGAAGAUGUGGGUUUAAGAUCUUUCACCACCUUCUUGAGCAACAUCCUGUCACCAUCAAGACUGAAGGUCAACCAACUGCCCAUGGAGGAAAGGCUUGAGAAAGCUUUUGCUGUGCCAAAAGGGGGAACUAUUUCUCCUGGAACAGAGUGGACAAAUGUGCAGCAGGUGAACAGAAUCAUAUUUGCUUUCCAGCUGUUGCACCAGCUGUGUCAUGCUGACAGUGGCCUCCACCUGUCUAACUCCUGCUUCCACCAAUUCAGAACCAAGAUAUUUUUAUACUCAUAUCCUGGUAUAAACCAACUGCUGAUGGAAGUUCUUUGAUGCUGAAUUUGGAAUCAAAUACAUUCUACUUUCUGGAAAUCCAUAUACUGGGUGGCUGCUUCAAUAGCAGCGGACACAAGAUGUAAAAUGCAGCAAUGGUCAAGGAAUUUCUCAGGGGAGGAAUCAAUCCUCUCAUUUUGGUGGAGGAACCUUGGAUACAGGGAGGAUGAGGGACUGACUCAAAGUCAUCUGGCAACUUAGAGACGAGGCCAGAGCUCCUCAAAUCUCCUAGCUCUGAAUCCAUGUUCUUUUUAUUGAGCGGGUCAUGACGUAACCCCCCAGAUGAGUGCAGCUUUUAAUCUCCCACAUCAAGGAGCCUGCUGGCUGCAGACUCAUGCAUACACAUCACGGUGGUUUCUGGGUGGUUGAUGCUCAUCACCCUCUGACUUCAUUUAUUUUUUCCUUUGCAAAAUGGCUAUUGCCCAGAGGCAGCAUCUCUUUUCUAAAAAGUGAACAUGCCAGAAGGGUUUUUGGAAACUGCCUUGCUAUCUGUAGGAGCCAGAUGAUUCACAGGGAUGAACCAAUGUACAUAACAAGGAUACCUGAUUGGAUUACCAAUUAGCCGUCUCCACCUCUGCAGGGUGGUUGGAAAGAAGAGAAAAGGCAGUGUUUAGUUUGGGCAAAUACCAAAAGGACUUUAUCAUUCUCAUCAAGGCAUCAGCGUGGCACAUUAGACCUCUUCCAAGCCAUUCCACUGGAACUUCUCUCUCCAAAUGCUCCAGCAAGAGUAAACUUGUUAUGCAAACAUUGGAUCAUUGUCUCUGAGCUACAGAAGCACCUCUGUGUCGGUGAAAGGGGAGAAACUGGCUGACUUGCGUCUGUUUUUAAUGAUGUCGCUGCUGCUGGGAAAAUUUGGAAGCUGCAGGACAUUAGAAAGGAUAUCGUGAACAGCCAUAUGAAGAGAUGGGCAAGCAUGUGCCGAGCUUCCGUGCCCUCUCUGGGCCUGCUGCCCUCCCACCUAGACACGCUCAGCAAUGCUGAAGCUUAUCAAUUCGUGGUCAACAGCUAAUAAAGAGCUUGAUCUCC